This is a microRNA precursor of Gossypium arboreum, 124 nucleotides long. It matches the Rfam family "MIR7504 microRNA precursor family". Lineage: Eukaryota; Viridiplantae; Streptophyta; Magnoliopsida; Malvales; Malvaceae. The record is from Rfam.
AAUAGGAGAAUGACAAAUUAGAUUUUUUCCUCCUGAUUUUCAGGUUUGUCCUCCUCAAAAAAUUCAAAUCUAACUAAAAAUGCUAAAAAUCAAAAGGAAAAAUAUGAUUUGUCAUUCUCCUAUU